GCAGUGGCUGUCGUCAGCGUCGUGUUGUGAAAUGUUGGGUUAAGUCCCGCAACGAGCGCAACCCUUAUCCUUUGUUGCCAGCGGGUUAUGCCGGGAACUCAAAGGAGACUGCCAGUGAUAAACUGGAGGAAGGUGGGGAUGACGUCAAGUCAUCAUGGCCCUUACGAGUAGGGCUACACACGUGCUACAAUGGCGCAUACAAAGAGAAGCGACCUCGCGAGAGCAAGCGGACCUCAUAAAGUGCGUCGUAGUCCGGAUUGGAGUCUGCAACUCGACUCCAUGAAGUCGGAAUCGCUAGUAAUCGUAGAUCAGAAUGCUACGGUGAAUACGUUCCCCCGGGCCUUGUACACACCGCCCGUCACACCAUGGGAGUGGGUUGCAAAAGAAGUAGGUAGCUUAACCUUCGGGAGGGCGCUUACCACUUUGUGAUUCAUGACUGGGGUGAAGUCGUAACAAGGUAAGCGUAGUGCU
This 471-nucleotide ribosomal RNA is filed under the name uncultured bacterium. RNAcentral describes it as "bacterial SSU rRNA". It matches the Rfam family "Bacterial small subunit ribosomal RNA", at positions 1043 to 1509 of the family's 1533-position model. The record is from RNAcentral.